Molecule: transfer RNA, 90 nt
Filed under: Janthinobacterium lividum
Lineage: Bacteria; Pseudomonadati; Pseudomonadota; Betaproteobacteria; Burkholderiales; Oxalobacteraceae
Also listed under: 1 other name
Description: tRNA-Ser
Rfam family: tRNA
About the family: Transfer RNA (tRNA) molecules are approximately 80 nucleotides in length. Their secondary structure includes four short double-helical elements and three loops (D, anti-codon, and T loops).
Source: RNAcentral
GGAUCGGUGGCCGAGUGGUUUAAGGCGCACGCUUGGAAAGCGUGUGUGCGUGAAAGCGUACCGUGGGUUCGAAUCCCACCCAAUCCGCCA